Long non-coding RNA from Canis lupus familiaris (dog), 562 nucleotides. RefSeq lists it as uncharacterized. The record is from RefSeq and is a predicted model, not a curated record. The transcript has 3 exons. Lineage: Eukaryota; Metazoa; Chordata; Mammalia; Carnivora; Canidae.
UGCAGCCAGUCUAGCUCUGUCAAUGAAUCCUCUACACACCUACACCUGCAGCUCUGCUGGAGCCGCCACAAGCCCUGGGGAUGAGGAAACUCAUGGAUGCAGAAUUCUGAGGACAUUGAGAGAAGAGCCAGAUUUCAAGUUGUUUGAACACGGAACAGAGAUAAUUGAAGAAGUACCUCCUCAGAAAAUUCAGCAGCUGACCAUGUCGUUUCCACAUGAUCUGGAUAGAAGCUUAAUUUAUAUGGACGUGUGUGCAUGUUUACACAGUUGCUAAACAUCUUGGAAGAAGAGUGGUUGUCUCUCUGUGCCACAGAAAUUUCUAACCUCCAUGGGAGUAGAGAUUUGAUGACUGGGACACCAAAGGUUCAGUGGGUUGUGACACCACAGGACAGGAAAAUGCAUGACCAGAAGCCUAGGCUGACAAGGGGGAAGUCUAAGAGCUGUUCUGUGAGGUUUUGCAUAGAAAUCAUCAUAACAAUAUGUUGGCUACUUGGAUUGAAAUUUAAGAAAAAGAAAUCAUUAUAACAGAGAGUUUCUUUUUAUUAGUUAAAAUAUUUUAAGA